Molecule: transfer RNA, 77 nt
Filed under: Bifidobacterium dentium
Lineage: Bacteria; Bacillati; Actinomycetota; Actinomycetes; Bifidobacteriales; Bifidobacteriaceae
Description: tRNA-Trp
Rfam family: tRNA
About the family: Transfer RNA (tRNA) molecules are approximately 80 nucleotides in length.
Source: RNAcentral
GCGUCAAUGGUGCAAAUCGGAUAGCACGGCGGUCUCCAAAACCGUCGAUGCCGGUUCGAGUCCGGCUUGACGUGCCA